GUAGGUGGCAAGCGUUGUCCGGAAUUAUUGGGGCGUAAAGCGCGCGCAGGCGGUUCUUUAAGUCUGAUGUGAAAGCCCACGGGCUCAACCGUGGAGGGUCAUUGGAAACUGGAGAACUUGAGUACAGAAGAGGAAAGCGGAAUUCCACGUGUAGCGGUGAAAUGCGUAGAGAUGUGGAGGAACACCAGUGGCGAAGGCGGCUUUCUGGUCUGUAACUGACGCUGAGGCGCGAAAGCGUGGGGAGCAAACAGGAUUAGAUACCUUGGUAGUCCACGCCGUAAACGAUGAGUGCUAAGUGUUAGGGGGUUUCCGCCCCUUAGUGCUGCAGCUAACGCAUUAAGCACUCCGCCUGGGGAGUACGGCCGCAAAGGCUGA
RNAcentral lists this ribosomal RNA (375 nucleotides) under uncultured organism. Its description in RNAcentral is "partial 16S ribosomal RNA". It matches the Rfam family "Bacterial small subunit ribosomal RNA", at positions 527 to 897 of the family's 1533-position model. The record is from RNAcentral.